GCCUUUAUGGUGCAAGUGGUAGCAUGCUCGACUCCUAUUCGAGAGGUCCGGAGUUCGAAUCCUGGCGAAGACA
This 73-nucleotide transfer RNA is filed under the name Stegodyphus mimosarum. It matches the Rfam family "tRNA". From Rfam's summary of the family: Transfer RNA (tRNA) molecules are approximately 80 nucleotides in length. Their secondary structure includes four short double-helical elements and three loops (D, anti-codon, and T loops). Lineage: Eukaryota; Metazoa; Arthropoda; Arachnida; Araneae; Eresidae. The record is from Rfam by way of RNAcentral.